This 497-nucleotide ribosomal RNA is filed under the name uncultured bacterium. RNAcentral's name for it is "partial 16S ribosomal RNA". It matches the Rfam family "Bacterial small subunit ribosomal RNA", at positions 28 to 507 of the family's 1533-position model. The record is from RNAcentral.
GAUGAACGCUGGCGGCGUGCCUAAUACAUGCAAGUCGGGCGAACGGACGAGAAGCUUGCUUCUCUGAUGUUAGCGGCGGACGGGUGAGUAACACGUGGAUAACCUACCUAUAAGACUGGGAUAACUUCGGGAAACCGGAGCUAAUACCGGAUAAUAUUUUGAACCGCAUGGUUCAAAAGUGAAAGACGGUCUUGCUGUCACUUAUAGAUGGAUCCGCGCUGCAUUAGCUAGUUGGUAAGGUAACGGCCUACCAAGGCAACGAUGCAUAGCCGACCGGAGAGGGUGAUCGGCCACACUGGAACUGAGACACGGUCCAGACUCCUACGGGAGGCAGCAGUAGGGAAUCUUCCGCAAUGGGCGAAAGCCUGACGGAGCAACGCCGCGUGAGUGAUGAAGGUCUUCGGAUCGUAAAACUCUGUUAUUAGGGAAGAACAUAUGUGUAAGUAACUGUGCACAUCUUGACGGUACCUAAUCAGAAAGCCACGGCUAACUACGUG